UGCUGCCAUCCGAAUUUGAACUUGUUGUUGGACUUCAGAAAGUAGAUCUAGAUCAGCUCUCCAAUAUUCUGAAUUGCUCGGCUCACUGUAUUGUUCCAUCCUUGCUGAUGGUAAUCCAAUCUCAAGUGGGAUCAUCGCUUCUAUUUCAUAAGCCAGAUUGAAUAAUGAUUCUCCCAUUGGUAUAUGAGGAGUCAUUCGGUAUGCCCA
Molecule: long non-coding RNA, 207 nt
Filed under: Elaeis guineensis (African oil palm)
Lineage: Eukaryota; Viridiplantae; Streptophyta; Magnoliopsida; Arecales; Arecaceae
Description: long non-coding RNA (EGUI_LNC073650)
Source: RNAcentral